Long non-coding RNA from Ruditapes philippinarum (Manila clam), 821 nucleotides. RefSeq lists it as uncharacterized. Lineage: Eukaryota; Metazoa; Mollusca; Bivalvia; Venerida; Veneridae. The transcript is spliced from 2 exons. The record is from RefSeq and is a predicted model, not a curated record.
ACAUGGCAGAACAUACCCACUGAGCCAUUUUUUUUGUCACAUGAAUAGUUUUGUAACAAAAAAUAUCAAGAAGUUCUCUUUAAAAAAAUUGAUGUAACAUUUAUUUUAAUGGGAACUGUAAAUAUUUUUACCUGCAGGCUGCAGCAAUAGACAAAUGCAUAAGUUUUCAGAAAAUGUAUUAUUUUACUGAUUUUGAUAUCUGGUUAAUAAGUUUUACUUGCUACAAGUUUUAAGUUUAGCAGGCACGCGUGAUAUUUUAACUGGCUAGGAAGAAGCUUAUCUCUGUUAUCUAUGUCUCUGUUAGAAUAUGAUUUUUAAUAAAGUAAGAAAAUGCAUUUAAAUACAAUGUAUGUCAAAACAGAUCUAAAUAAAAUAAUAUCCUUUUUUUCAGAUGUAUUACCAUCAUUGUUUUUUAUCAUUUACUGUUUCAACUGCUUGUCAUAACGAGGCUUUGAAUCUUGGCUAUCGGUUUCAUCUUCAUUGGUCAUGUAUUGCUUUACGGUCGUGACUUGCUCUAAUAAAAAGUAAAUUGAAUCUGCAGAAACUAUGUUAAGGCUUUGUUCUUAUCUGAUAAAUGUGAAUGUAUUAAAAUGUUGAUUUAUAUUUAAACAGGUGAACAUUUGGUUGGACCAUUUGACGAGUGUUUCUGCCAACAGAAAAAGGGGCAAGGCAAAGGCGUCCGAGACACGGUCUUUGAAAAAGGUUCAAGCUUCUAUCCAGGCCCAAGCUCCUAUCAAGGUUCAAGCUCCUAUAUAUCCCGACUCAAGCUCCCAUCCAGGCUCCUGCUCCUAUCCAGGCUCUUGAGGAAAGUGCACCAGAUU